GGCGGCUUAGCUCAUUCUGGUCUAGAGCGCCCGUCUCAUAAGCGGGAGGUACUGGGUUCGAAUCCCAGAGCCGCCA
This 76-nucleotide transfer RNA is filed under the name Candidatus Acetothermia bacterium. RNAcentral describes it as "tRNA-Met". It matches the Rfam family "tRNA". From Rfam's summary of the family: Transfer RNA (tRNA) molecules are approximately 80 nucleotides in length. The record is from RNAcentral. Lineage: Bacteria; Candidatus Bipolaricaulota.